UGGGGAAUUUUGGCCAAUGGGCGCAAGCCUGAUCCAGCAAUGCCGCGUGCAGGAUGAAGGCCUUCGGGUUGUAAACUGCUUUUGUACGGAACGAAAAAGCUCUCUCUAAUACAGGGGGUGAAUGACGGUACCGUAAGAAUAAGCACCGGCUAACUGCGUGCCAGCAGCCGCGGUAAUACGUAGGGUGCAAGCGUUAAUCGGAAUUACUGGGCGUAAAGCGUGCGCAGGCGGUUUUGUAAGACAGAGGUGAAAUCCCCGGGCUCAACCUGGGAACUGCCUUUGUGACUGCAAAGCUGGAGUGCGGCAGAGGGGGAUGGAAUUCCGCGUGUAGCAGUGAAAUGCGUAGAGAUGCGGAGGAACACCGAUGGCGAAGGCAAUCCCCUGGGCCUGCACUGACGCUCAUGCACGAAAGCGUGGGGAGCAAACA
This 427-nucleotide ribosomal RNA is filed under the name uncultured bacterium. Its description in RNAcentral is "bacterial SSU rRNA". It matches the Rfam family "Bacterial small subunit ribosomal RNA", at positions 355 to 774 of the family's 1533-position model. The record is from RNAcentral.